RNAcentral lists this ribosomal RNA (493 nucleotides) under uncultured bacterium. RNAcentral describes it as "partial 16S ribosomal RNA". It matches the Rfam family "Bacterial small subunit ribosomal RNA", at positions 28 to 507 of the family's 1533-position model. The record is from RNAcentral.
GACGAACGCUGGCGGUGUGCUUAACACAUGCAAGUGGUGCGACGAACCAGAGCUUGCUCUGGGGCAAAGCCGCGAACGGGUGAGUAACACGUGGGUAAUCUACCCCGAUGACCGGGACAACCCGAGGAAACUCGGGCUAAUACCGGAUGUGGUGCGGAGACAUAAGUCUCUUCACUAAAGGUAGCUUCGUCUUCCGCAUUGGGAGGGGCCCGCGGCCCAUUAGCUUGUUGGUGGGGUCAAGGCCUACCAAGGCAACGAUGGGUAGCUGGUCUGAGAGGACGAUCAGCCACACUGGGACUGAGACACGGCCCAGACUCCUACGGGAGGCAGCAGUGGGGAAUCUUGCGCAAUGCGCGAAAGCGUGACGCAGCAACACCGCGUGAGGGAAGAAGGCCUUAGGGUUGUAAACCUCUUUCAGAUGGGACGAAGGUUCUCCGGUGAAUAGCCGAGAGGAUUGACGGUACCGUCAGAAGAAGCUCCGGCUAACUACGUG